RNAcentral lists this small RNA (27 nucleotides) under Arabidopsis thaliana (thale cress). RNAcentral's name for it is "ATSL136270". The record is from RNAcentral. Lineage: Eukaryota; Viridiplantae; Streptophyta; Magnoliopsida; Brassicales; Brassicaceae.
CUUUUUUUGUUGUUUUUUUUAGAAAAA